GACUGAGCAGCAGAGCCUCUAGCCCUCUUUUCGGCUUCCGGUUUGGUGGGGGGAACUACUUGAUUGAUCUGGAUUGCUUGUUUUCUCUUAUACUUGCUGAGAUAAUGGAUGCAGUAAUUGGAGGAACCCUGAAGACUCCCUCUAACAGCUGAUGCCCUGCAGCUUACUCGAGUCUUGGGGUGCCAUCCUGGAGGAGUUUUGCUAAGGAUAUGAAGAUUUUUAGAACAUGCCCAUGGAGAACCACCCAUUGCUUUAUUCGGCCAAGAAGGAUUUGGGGGAAGGAAAUGUUGCUCUCUCCACCUGGACAAUCCUUCAGACUGAUGGACACAGAAGCACGGAGGCUAACCCUCUGUAUUCCUAUCAGUAACUAGCCAUUUGAGGUGGGUUGCUCUUUGGAGAAAGCACGCCCUUGUAUGAAGUCCCCACCGGAAGCAAGUAGUAGAUGAUGCUCACAGCUGACACAGUUGACAGCUCCAAUCCCAAUGGCUGACUACAUGAGGUCACAAUGGGGCAACUGGAUGGCCACCCAAACUGGAAAAGGAUGAGAGAAGGAUGAAUAACUGGUUUCAAGUUCAUCAGAAGGGAUUCAAAAAGAGGCUGAUACCAAAUGAUAGCAAGCCAAAUCAGUCCACAACUCCAAGAAGAUACGACAUCUGUCUUAUGGUGCUGGCAUUUGAUUCAGUCUUUAAAAUUAUUAGAGUCUGAAUCUUCUAAGCUGUGGGAAAAUGUGGCAGGAAAGACCCAAAAGGGGCUAUGAUCUGAAGCUGAACAGACGAUGCCCCCCACUUACUGCCAAAGGGCAACGGCUUCUGCUGUGUAAGAGUUUGGUGGAAAACCUUCGAACUUUAAAAGGGCAAUUAUUAGUUGACAGGAAGGAGGGAAGAACGGAAAAGCAGCACUGACUGAAUCUUUCCAAAGUCAACAACUCCUCCUGCCAGAAGCCAUUUAGCAAUAAAAAUCACCCAAGUUGUAUGCAAAGGCCAAAUCUAACCACAGUCUAUUCUACUCAGCUCCUCCUCCAAGCAUUUGAAAAUACCUUACAGCCAGCAAUUUAAUCACAAAGACAUUUCCCCAAAAGUUACAAAUUCCUGCAGUAGAUGGAGUUAUGGAAAAUAGGGACUUGCAGGGUAAUGCCAAGGAUGUGUCACCUUCCCUCAGUGUCUUGAACCAAGAUAAGUUCUAUUUAACACUCAGCUUGUACGAAUCCCUGUCCCUAAAAGAUUUAUCUGAUUAAAGGCAUGGAUAAAUAUUUAA
Mesocricetus auratus (golden hamster) is the source of this 1254-nucleotide long non-coding RNA. RefSeq lists it as uncharacterized. The record is from RefSeq and is a predicted model, not a curated record. The transcript has 2 exons. Lineage: Eukaryota; Metazoa; Chordata; Mammalia; Rodentia; Cricetidae.